CAGUAAUGUGAUCUGUACGGCGAGAUCUUGCUAUUUAAUGGGAUUUUUCUUUCUGCAUUUGUGUUUGCCCCUUUUUGCUUGGCUUUUUGAAAUGAAUUAAUAGGAUUUAGAUCCUUGUUUGGUUAGUUUUUUUUUGCUUUGUUUUAUCAAUGGAGCUGCGCUUUUUAAUUUAGUGAGAAUUUGAUUAGUAAUUUCACUUUGGUUGUUAAUUUCUGGGUUAUCAUUUGUGAAAUAUGAAUAAUAAUUAGGGGAAAAAGAGAAAAGAGUUAGGAGCAGGUCUUAUAUUAUGGAUGUAUCAAAUCGUGCUUGGGGUUUGAAAAUGUAGUCACUUAUUUUUUUACCCUUUUUUUGGGUUAAUGGGUUUGUAUUUUUUGCACAAUUUUGAUCUACAUCUGUAGACUUAUUGUAAUGUAUAUGUAGUAGUUAGUGAUUGAUUCUGGCGUGCUUGAUGUGAAGUUAAAGGAAAAUUUGGAUAUUGGUGUUUCAUCAAGAAUGAAUGGACAAAAGGAUGUUUGUCCUUGGUCUAGUCUUUUAGGUUGAUAAGAAUGGUACUUGUGGCUAUGAAAUAUUGAUGUCGUAUGUGUAUCUAUGUGCGAGGAUUGGCUAAAUAGUUACUAAAUAUGUUUUUAAACCUUGUAGCGCAUUGAACUGAUAAGGGAACUGAUGAUUUUCUGGAUUAAAAUUAAGGGCCCAACGAUUAUUCAACUAUAGUUGCUACACGCACGAUAUGAAUACCUGCAUUAAUUGGCCAAUUUGUACGGUCUUUGCAUCUCAUGUGGCUGACUUUGAUGAGACACUUCAUUUUCUGUUUCAGGCUUUUGUCCCAACAGUGAUGUCGGGGAAUGCUCUUAGAGACCUAAAUACACUACCUGGAUCCGAGAGGAAGAAUGAAAGCUCUAGUAAAGGGAAUUUUUCCAAACCUUACUGUGAGAACAGUGAUAAAAAUUUUGAAAAGUCAGAGAGAAAAAACUCUUCCUCAUUGGUUUCAGCUACUGUUAAUGGAGAUGGAACUGCUAAUCCUGCAGUGGCGAUAGGUAAUGCGGAGAUGGAAUAUAUUGAGUCCGAGAAUUUGAGUGAUGUAGAUGAUUUUGAUACCAGUGUAAAGACACUCUUGGCUGGUCUAGACUCUAAAGAUUGGGUUCUGGUUUGUGAAUCACUUAACAAUGUACGUCGGUUAUCCAUAUUUCACAAGGAAGCAUUGCUGGAUAUGCUGGGUGAUGUGAUACCACUCAUUGUCAAGUCAUUGAAGAAUCCAAGAAGCGCCGUUUGUAAAACCGCAAUUAUGACUUCUGCUGACAUGUUCAGUGCAUAUAAUGAUCACUUAAUUGAUUCACUGGAUCCUCUGGUACUUUAUUUCAACAAUAGUUUCUGCCUCAGUUGUUGAGCUAGUUCUUUUGUGCAUUGUUUUUGCCUUAUGUGACCUGAUGUGUUUCCCUCUUUUUCUCAAAAUGUGGUUAAAUUUGAUAUAUGCAGCUUGUACAACUUCUUCUGAAGUCUUCACAAGACAAACGAUUUGUAUGUGAGGCAGCUGAGAGAGCUCUGGUAGCAAUGACGACUUGGGUUUCCCCUACACUGUUGUUACCAAAGUUGCAGCCAUAUCUUCAGAAUAGGAAUCCUCGAAUUCGAGCUAAGGCAUCAAUGUGCUUUUCUCGAAGUGUACCACAACUGGUAGGAAGACAAAUUUUUAUAGAAUCAUCUACUUUUCAAUUUGAUUAUUGAGCUUAACUGAUAAUUCCAUUCCUUUUUUUGUCCUCCAUAGUAAGAGUUUAUAUUAAACCUUACAUUAUUUUUGACUGCUUUAUCUCAUUGCAUUUCUAAUUUAUUGUCUUAUUUCUACCUUUGAUGUUGCCAAUGCGGAUGCCACCUUAUCUGUUGUGAUUUGAGAAUUUCACAGUACUGUAGUGUUUGUCAUUUUUAAAUAAGUUUAUUGAAAGUUCUUGAAUAGAUAUGCUGCUGUUAUUAUUUUACUAUUUUGUUUUUAGAGCUCCUGCUUGUGUUCUUUGUCUACCUCCGGAAUAAUACCAGUAACCAUAUUGCAUACACCUAGUGUUUUGGAUGUUAAGCUGCAUCCUGUCUUCAUUCUUAUACGUGUGCAUAUCUCUUUUCUGCUGUGAGAACAUUGCUCCUUAGUCAUGUGCAGACCUUAUGAUAAAAGGGUUUAUUUGAGGUUUUGUUUGCUCUUCCUCAUGUGAUUAACUCUAUUUUGCUACCUUCUUUCCCUACCGUUUGGGGUGUGCAUGCAUGCAUGUACUUGUGACAGAGAUAAGAAUGAUGAUUUGGUUAUAUAUAUAUACACUUGCACUGGAUUGAGGAGAAAAUGUAAACCUAAAUUGGGUUGCAUUUAUUUUGUUGCCUUCAUGUGCGCUUGUUCAGUUGUUCCUAGUUUAUGCCCUUAAUCAUUUAAUCAUGUUUGUAUCAACAGGGUGUUGAAGGGAUUAAAUCAUAUGGGAUUGACAAAUUGAUCCUAGUAGCUGCAUCACAGCUCAGUGACCAACUUCCUGAAUCUAGGGAAGCAGCUAGAGCCCUCCUCUUGGAGCUGCAAACUGUAUAUGAGAAGUCACAUGACCUCACACCAGCAGUAUCUGAGCAUUCAGAGCUGAGUUCUUGGGAGCAUUUCUGUCAGUCAAAGCUCUCCCCUUUAAGCGCACAAGCUGUGCUUCGUGUGACCAAUAUUGCUCGGGAGGGUCUUGUCUUGGGUUCAUAACAGAAGUUAUAUAUAAGAGCAUAUUUGAGUUUUAGUGAGUACGGUCUUUAUUUUACUCGCAUAUUUGAUCUUCAGUGAGCCAGAGUUUAUAAUUUGCUUUUCUUUUUGUUCAUCAUUGUCCUGUAAAUAGCAAGAAACAUUGAGAUGUCUGAAUUGCGGUUAAACAUGUAGUUGAAUUGGAAUAUUCUUUGGAGAUGAGUUACUGUUGGCCAUCAAUUUCUUUAAUACAGUUACGAGUUUAUGCAGAUUAGUUAUGAAAAAUAAUGCGAUGCCUUUUUCUUUCAUCGCCCUGCAUUGUCCAUUUAGCCAAGAGAAAAAGAAAAAAAGAAGACCCUUUCAAUGCUUAUACCUUUAUUCCCAUAAUGUCAUCUGUUAAUUGAAAUUGAGAUGUGGCUUUUGAACUCUGAUUAAUGAUGAACACUGUUAACUACAGGGAUGUUUCUACUUUGAAUAUGUGCAGCUAAUUUCUUGGGAAGUUCCUGUGAAAAAUUUUUUAUAUUUACUUUCAUUGCCACUGAUAAUUAUUAAGUUAAUAAAACAUUUAGUGUUUAUUUUUAGUGAUCUGGUUGGCUAAAAUUAACAUUACAACUCUUGACAAAAUGCUUGAACUAGAAAUGCUUAAUAAUGUUAUUCCUUUUGUAGAUUUUAAAGCAACUGAUUGCAGAAUAAAGCUUGAUUUGAAGUGGGUAAGAUGUGAUUAAAAAAAUGCUUGAUUUAUAUGCUAAUUAUGGUGGGUGAGAUAAAGAUUGAUCCAGUGGUUUAAUUCCAGAUUGGCCGUCUCCAUCAUCCGCUUAGAUCUCAUCAACCUUUUCUUUUGAAAAUAG
This 3528-nucleotide unclassified non-coding RNA is filed under the name Hevea brasiliensis (rubber tree). Lineage: Eukaryota; Viridiplantae; Streptophyta; Magnoliopsida; Malpighiales; Euphorbiaceae. The record is from RNAcentral.